ACGCUGCAAUUCUUUCAGUUUCUAUGAUUUUACUCUCCAAUUGAUUCCCGGUGAUUUAAGCCACCAUUUAACGAGCGGUUUGUUCCUACUUAAAGCCCUCGACUCCCUCUUCAUUUCCCCUCUGUUUCCUCAGACAAUCGUGCCCCCAGGCUGCCUCAAUUUCUCGCCGAAGACCACGGUAUCCGCCACCGUGCGAGCCUGUUUUCGUCGACCACGAGGUCACCGUCGACCGGAGCAUCUUCGGCCGUCUAUCGUCAUCGUCCCAGCAAGCGCACGGCAGCCAGCACCAUCGAACUCACUGCAUCAUGCUGAACCUCGUAGACCUCCACCUCAUGCACUUCCCCGGAGGAGCACUGAUACAUCGCCGACAACGACCACCGGAGCGCACAACCACCACGAGUCCACGACCACCAAGAACGCCCCUUUCGUACGGAGAGGCACGUAUUUUGAUUAAGAGAAGUGAACGCGCUUCGA
This is a long non-coding RNA of Lolium rigidum, 474 nucleotides long. RefSeq lists it as uncharacterized. The transcript is spliced from 3 exons. The record is from RefSeq and is a predicted model, not a curated record. NCBI's taxonomy places the organism in Eukaryota, Viridiplantae, Streptophyta, Magnoliopsida, Poales, Poaceae.